AAUAUUGGACAAUGGGGGCAACCCUGAUCCAGCCAUGCCGCGUGUGUGAAGAAGGUCUUCGGAUUGUAAAGCACUUUAAGUUGGGAGGAAGGGGUUUAGGAUAAUACGCUGAAGAUUUGACGUUACCAACAGAAUAAGCACCGGCUAACACGGACCCAGCAGCCCCGGUAAUACAGAGGGUGCAAGCGUUAACCGGAAUUACUGGGCGUAAAGCGCGCGUAGGUGGUUCAGUAAGAUGGGUGUGAAAUCCCCGGGCUUAACCUGGGAACUGCUUUCAUAACUGCUGAGCUAGAGUAUGGUAGAGGGUAGUGGAAUUUCCUGUGUAGCGGUGAAAUGCGUAGAUAUAGGAAGGAACACCAGUGGCGAAGGCGACUACCUGGACUGAUACUGACACUGAGGUGCGAAAGCGUGGGGAGCAAAC
Molecule: ribosomal RNA, 421 nt
Filed under: uncultured bacterium
Lineage: Bacteria
Description: partial 16S ribosomal RNA
Rfam family: Bacterial small subunit ribosomal RNA
Source: RNAcentral